This 488-nucleotide ribosomal RNA is filed under the name uncultured bacterium. RNAcentral describes it as "partial 16S ribosomal RNA". It matches the Rfam family "Bacterial small subunit ribosomal RNA", at positions 28 to 507 of the family's 1533-position model. The record is from RNAcentral.
GACGAACGCUGGCGGCGUGCUUAACACAUGCAAGUCGAACGGAAAGGCCCCCACCUUGGUGGGGGUGCUCGAGUGGCGAACGGGUGAGUAACACGUGGGUGAUCUGCCCUGUACUUCGGGAUAAGCUUGGGAAACUGGGUCUAAUACCGGAUAGGACCAUGGUUUAGUGUCUCAUGGUGGAAAAAUUAUUGUUUUGGUGCAGGAUGAGCUCGCGGCCUAUCAGCUUGUUGGUGGGGUAAUGGCCUACCAAGGCGUCGACGGGUAGCCGGCCUGAGAGGGUGGACGGCCACAUUGGACUGAGAUACGGCCCAGACUCCUACGGGAGGCAGCAGUGGGGAAGAUUGCACAAUGGGCGCAAGCCUGAUGCAGCGACGCCGCGUGGGGGAUGACGGCCUUCGGGUUGUAAACUCCUUUCGUUAGGGACGAAGCCACACCUUUUUUGGGUGUGGUGACGGUACCUUUGUUAAGAAGCACCGGCUAACUACGUG